GUGAUCCUCACACUUCAGCCUCCAGAGUAGCUUUGAUGACAGGAUCUUGAGAUGACGUCAUACUGGAUGAUCCUAGUGCACCCUAAAUCCAAUAAGUGUUCUUAUGAAAGACAGAAGAGGAGAAGAUACAGGAAAUAGAAGAAGGCUACUUGAGGAUGGAAGCAGAGAUUGGAGUUAUGCAGCUACAAACCAAAGAAUGCCUUGAGCCACCAGCAGCUGAAAGAGCUAGUCAGCAAUACAACUGGGAUUUGAUAUCAGAUUCAUACGAUUCCGAAGACCCUGACCACCAAAUGCAAAAGGUACAUGGCAACAGCUGAUUGCAAUGAGAGAAAAACAACUAAUAAGGCAACAAGCAGGAUACUAAGAUAUUUUCCAAAAUGAAUAGCACUGAUUCUGUGAGGAAUGAACAUUGCCAAACAAGUGUUUUGUUUUGUUUUUCAACUCCUCUAAAAAAAUUCACAUAUAUGCAUGCCACUUUCCUGAAAAAUAUCUGCCUCAUAAUUGCCAUAAGAAACGGUAUGGACAACUCUUAAACAUUCUGAAAGUAGUCAGGGAUGGGGGAAAGCAUUUGCUGUUUUAGUCUGUUCCUGGUCUUAUAACAAAUACCACAAACUGGGUAAUUUAUGAUUACAGAAAUGUAUUUCUGAAAGUUCAGGAGUUGGGAAGUUCAAGAUUAUGGCACCAACAUAUUCAUUGUCUGAUGAGGGCCUGUUUCACAGAUGUCAUUUUGCAUGACUUAAUCACAUGGUAGGAAAAGCAAAGGGACAAAAUGGACAAAUGCCAUGUUGUCACAUGGCAGAAGAAAUGGAAGAGCCAGGAAGCUCUCAGAAGCUUCCUUAAUUAGGAUAUUAAUCUCAUUCAUGAGUGCAUAGCCAUCAUGACUUAAUUGCCUCCAAAGGCCCCACUUCCUCAUCACUUUGAGGAUUAAACUUAAACAUGAAUUUGGAGGAAAUAUAUCCAAACUCUAGGACUAGUUUAAAUGUAGCUAAAAAGGUUUCUUCAUUCUGUAAUCGUUAAUAUGCUAAUAUUUUUGUAAAUAUCCAAGAGGAAGCUAAAGCAUAUAAUAUUCCAAAAUUUAUUUCUGUUUGUGGAUAUUAUGUUUUCCUCUCAUUCUAUCUUAAGAAAUUAGUGUCCUCAAGAAACACUAUAUAGGAUAAUUGUCUUUCAAGUUCAUCAACUACCAGUUCUUGAUUCUUCAGUAGCUAAUCCUAGAUAGUAAUACUUAACAGAUUAUAAAAACUUGGGUGCUGCUAUAUAAAUGCGCUGAAACUCCCAGGGAACCAAACAUAAGGACUUAAAGAGAGAUGUAACUAGGGAUCAUAAUCAUGAAUUUCAGCUGCUUCUCUAUCUUUGUCAGUGAGCAAAUGACCAUACAAAAUAAGGUAUUCAAUUAUUAAUUCUGUGCCCAUAUCCCGGAAUUUUGCCCAAUAUAUUUGUAAGUUUAGAUAAAUAAGGCACUAAUGCCAGGGAUAUGUAGCAUUAGUUCUGGGUUUAUAAAGGGAUAUUCACAACCUCUUGCCAUCCACAGAAUUUAUCAGCCCAAAGUAAACUAUACUCGUUGGUUAAGGGCAACCUGAGACAUGUUUAAAACUGAGGUGGACUGAAGAGUCAACUAAUUGCAGGAAUCUUUUAUUUGGUUGAAAUGUUCAAACAAGUCCCACUCUGAAUUCUAUUAGAAGUCCAUCAUUGGCUUCUCUCUCUUUCUCACUGUCUUAAAUCAUGUAUUUUAUAACACUAUGAAGAAUGAAGUUCAAAAGAAUAAGCUAAAUUUAAUUAAUUAAAUUAUUUAUUUAUUUAUUUUGAGACAGAGUCUCACUCUGUCACCCAGGCCAGAGUUCAG
RNAcentral lists this long non-coding RNA (1840 nucleotides) under Homo sapiens (human). Its description in RNAcentral is "HSALNT0351987". Lineage: Eukaryota; Metazoa; Chordata; Mammalia; Primates; Hominidae. The record is from RNAcentral.